CCUACGGGUGGCAGCAGUGAGGAAUAUUGGUCAAUGGGCGCAAGCCUGAACCAGCCAAGUCGCGUGAGGGAUGACGGUCCUAUGGAUUGUAAACCUCUUUUGUCGGGGAGCAAGGCCCGCCACGUGUGGCGGUAAGUAGAGUACCCGAAGAAAAAGCAUCGGCUAACCCCGUGCCAGCAGCCGCGGUAAUACGGAGGUUGCGAGCGUUAUCCGGAUUUAUUGGGUUGAAGGGGGGCGUGGGCGGAAGGUUAAGUUAGCGGUAAAUUGUGGGUGCUCAACACCGGCCUGCCGUUGAAACUGGUCUGCUUGAGUGCGCGAGAAGUAUGCGGAAUGCGUGGUGUAGCGGUGAAAUGCAUAGAUAUCACGCAGAACUCCGAUUGCGAAGGCAGCAUACCGGAGCUCAACUGACGCUGAGGCACGAAAGCGUGGGGAUCGAACAGGAUUAGAUACCCGGGUAGUC
This 460-nucleotide ribosomal RNA is filed under the name uncultured bacterium. Its description in RNAcentral is "partial 16S ribosomal RNA". It matches the Rfam family "Bacterial small subunit ribosomal RNA", at positions 338 to 795 of the family's 1533-position model. The record is from RNAcentral.